Molecule: ribosomal RNA, 433 nt
Filed under: uncultured bacterium
Lineage: Bacteria
Description: partial 16S ribosomal RNA
Rfam family: Bacterial small subunit ribosomal RNA
Source: RNAcentral
AGCGAACGCUGGCGGCAGGCUUAACACAUGCAAGUCGAGCGGACCUUUCGGGGUCAGCGGCGGACGGGUGAGUAACGCGUGGGAACGUGCCUUCCGGUUCGGAAUAACCCUGGGAAACUAGGGCUAAUACCGGAUACGCCCUUAUGGGGAAAGGUUUACUGCCGGAAGAUCGGCCCGCGUCUGAUUAGCUAGUUGGUGGGGUAACGGCCUACCAAGGCGACGAUCAGUAGCUGGUCUGAGAGGAUGAUCAGCCACACUGGGACUGAGACACGGCCCAGACUCCUACGGGAGGCAGCAGUGGGGAAUAUUGGACAAUGGGCGCAAGCCUGAUCCAGCCAUGCCGCGUGAGUGAUGAAGGCCUUAGGGUUGUAAAGCUCUUUUAUCCGGGACGAUAAUGACGGUACCGGAGGAAUAAGCCCCGGUUAACUUCGUG